GAUGAACGCUGGCGGCGUGCUUAACACAUGCAAGUCGAACGAAGCGCUUAAAACGGAUUUCUUCGGAAUGAAGUUUUUGCGACUGAGUGGCGGACGGGUGAGUAACGCGUGGGUAACCUGCCUCAUACAGGGGGAUAACAGUUAGAAACGACUGCUAAUACCGCAUAAGCCCACAGCUCGGCAUCGAGCAGAGGGAAAAGGAGUGAUCCGCUUUGAGAUGGCCUCGCGUCCGAUUAGCUGGUUGGUGAGGUAACGGCCCACCAAGGCGACGAUCGGUAGCCGGACUGAGAGGUUGAACGGCCACAUCGGGACUGAGACACGGCCCAG
RNAcentral lists this ribosomal RNA (327 nucleotides) under uncultured bacterium. RNAcentral describes it as "bacterial SSU rRNA". It matches the Rfam family "Bacterial small subunit ribosomal RNA", at positions 28 to 334 of the family's 1533-position model. The record is from RNAcentral.